Cydia pomonella (codling moth) is the source of this 72-nucleotide non-coding RNA. The record is from the annotation of a RefSeq genome assembly. Lineage: Eukaryota; Metazoa; Arthropoda; Insecta; Lepidoptera; Tortricidae.
GGCCGGGUGGUCUAGUGGUCAGGAAGUUAGCCGCGUAAGCUAGAAACGCCGGUUCAAUUCCGGCCUCGGUCU